This 347-nucleotide unclassified non-coding RNA is filed under the name soil metagenome. RNAcentral describes it as "partial contains 5.8S ribosomal RNA, internal transcribed spacer 2, and large subunit ribosomal RNA". The stretch from base 1 to 119 matches the Rfam family "5.8S ribosomal RNA", at positions 35 to 154 of the family's 154-position model. The record is from RNAcentral.
GAUGAAGAACGUAGCGAAAUGCGAUAAGUAAUGCGAAUUGCAGAAUCCGUGAGUCAUCGAAUCUUCGAACGCACAUUGCGCCCUUUGGUAUUCCGAAGGGCAUGCCUGUUCGAGCGUCAUUAUCACCCCUCAAGCCCCGGCUUGGUGUUGGGCUCUCGGUGGUCGUCUCCGACCACCCGUCUCAAAGAUAGUGACGGCGUCCCAGAGGGAACCGGUACGAGGAGCUUUCACGAGCAUGUACGCGGGACGACUCUGCGGGCGACGGUCUUAUUUACUUUAUAUACAAGUGUUGACCUCGGAUCAGGUAGGAAUACCCGCUGAACUUAAGCAUAUCAAUAAGCGGAGGA